This 1121-nucleotide long non-coding RNA is filed under the name Anser cygnoides (Swan goose). RNAcentral's name for it is "lncRNA (ENSACDG00005010001.1)". The record is from RNAcentral. Lineage: Eukaryota; Metazoa; Chordata; Aves; Anseriformes; Anatidae.
GCCCCGCACUGGGGGUCCCCGGCAGCCGCCCGCUGCGGUGGCAGCCACCUGUUGCUGGCCGUUAAACCCGGACAGGUCCGGCGCACCGGCUCUUUUUUUUCAUUUUAUUUUAUUUUUUUCUCCUUUCCCCUACCGUAGCCGUCGCAUUGUUUUGUUAUUAUUUUUUAAUAAUUUUUUGUAAUUAUUUUUAUUAUUAUUAUUUUCACCCGGCUCCGUUCGCCGCCCCUCGGGGGGGGGCCGUCCCGCCGCCUUCUGCCCCGGCUCCGAGGGGGGCCGGCCCCGCGGGACGCAGAGCCGCAAAAAUGGGGCCCCCCCUCGGCCCCGGCCCCCCUCGGGCCCGGGGCCCGUCCCGGGCAGCGGCCAGAGGCGCGGCAGCAGCCGUCUGCUGGGUUCCCCCUCUCCAGUUUCAAAAUUCAGGCAAAUCCUGUCAAGUGACUCUGACAGGGGCGUCUUCCUGCAAAACCCGGAGGAAAGAAUCCCUGCCCCGCCGGAGACUCGCGUCCUUGGUCUCUGUAUUGACAGAAACUGAGGCAAAACCACGUUGCUGCUGCUCUCUUCUUUCUACCGCAGGCACCAAAAACCCCAGGCCGCGGGCCUGUCACACCUCAACCCGCAAAUCCCCCUCCUUGUGCCUGCAGCCCCGUAGCGCACGAAGGACCCUCAGGACCUCGGCUACCAGACAAGAAGACAAGGCGCUUUUACUGCCUCUCCGGUGGCAGCUCCUGCCCAGCUCCUGCGGCUUCACCCUGGCUGUUCCGCCACCGCUUAUCUCCCGCGCACGAGCUAUUGGGACUUCUGCCACGGCAAUACCCACCCGAGGCUUCUACUUACUUCAGCGGUCGCUAGCAUUAUGUACUCAUACAGCCUCUCACCACACGCCUGUUCUGCUAGCAACACAGUGCUUCGUGUUGGCUUCGCAUAUUCUCCUUCCCAAAACAAGCCAACAUUACCUCCUGCGUAUAAAGUUUUAUAUCGAUAAAGCCUGUACUGGUUCUGGAACGGGAAGAAGGGAUGAUCCUGAACUUGUGAGAGGUGAAGAGGAACAGGAUUCAAAUUUGCAGAACAUGUGCACCUUGCAGGAAGAGCAGCAGCGAGGCCAGAAGCGCAGCCAAGCAGCGUGA